This is a long non-coding RNA of Octopus sinensis (East Asian common octopus), 151 nucleotides long. RefSeq lists it as uncharacterized. The transcript has 3 exons. NCBI's taxonomy places the organism in Eukaryota, Metazoa, Mollusca, Cephalopoda, Octopoda, Octopodidae. The record is from RefSeq and is a predicted model, not a curated record.
UGUGUGUGUGUGUGUGUGUGUGUGCGUGUACAGCUGAAAGAGCUAAGACUCUACUCGCUGGAGCGAAGGCGGUCGAGUUAUGCAGUAAUAUAUAUCUGGAAGAUCCUGGAAGGAAUGGUGCCAAAUUUUGGCAUUGAAAGGUACACCAAUG